UAUGGACUUGAUACGCGUACCCAUAACUUAAUUGUUUUAUGAUUGUUUUUAGCGAUAAAGAUUGUUAUUUUUUGUUUUAGAACCUAAAGCACCAAUAUUUUUUAAGUCUUUAUUCUUCCCGAAUAUAAUGUAUGUAGGACCUAUAUGAUAAUCAGCAAAACGUAAUCUCAGAAUUUUUGGUAGAAUAUUGUUUAUGGAGAGACAAUAAAGACGUAAAAGUAAACAAAAAAAAACUGUACAACACGAAACUACCUAUUAUAAUUUAUUUAUAGAGUACUUUAUACACGGUCACGAUUUAUUAUUAAAAUAUUUUCGAUCGAAAAAAAACAUUCACGAUAUCGCACACGGCUUGGAUUUUUCGCAAGGCCUGAUAAUGUUAAGCGACGGGUGUUUCAUUGGUUGGUAAGACAAUAGGUUUUAAGGACUUCAGAGAGCAUUUCAUUUCUGCCACUGUAGCCAAAAAGGGUAGUUUAAAAAUUAAAUUUUAUUCACCCUCAGAAAAACGGAGUGGAAAUAAAAAGGCGCCCGAGGUUGGGCUAGUGAAAAUAACAAUCAGGUUUCCACCAGUACGUUACCGCGAGCCGCAUUUGUUAGCCAUAGAUGAUUGCCUCCGAAUAUUUACACUUUGGAUGAUGCCAAGCGAUGACAGAACCUAUUACGAGCAAAUACCGUUACUCAACCACCUUGAUCUUCGGUCACCCCGAUGACUGGUAGGAUAUCAUUAUAUUUGAUCGAUACAAUUGUCAAGUAACCAAAAUAUGUAAUACCUCCAAAAUCAUCUAGAAUGUUGUGCACAAUAACAAGAAGAGAUGAUGCGAAUUUUGUUCCUUCGUCAACAUGCAAUGAUGUGAUCCAUAAAGUUAACAACAAAUGUUACAUACCCCAGACAUACCCCUAUACUAAUAAUUGUCUUGGUUAUUUAUUGUAUAGUUCAUAAAUAUACUUUUAUAAUCAUGACUGAGAGUUUAAUGCACUGAAGGAAAUAGGUAUACGUGCUUUUAAAAAAAGGAAAAAGAAUACCGGAGUAUGCAAAGUUAUAAUAUUAUCACAUUA
Aphis gossypii (cotton aphid) is the source of this 1053-nucleotide long non-coding RNA. RefSeq lists it as uncharacterized. The transcript has 5 exons. Lineage: Eukaryota; Metazoa; Arthropoda; Insecta; Hemiptera; Aphididae. The record is from RefSeq and is a predicted model, not a curated record.